CAUUAUCGUGUGCCGCAGCAGCAGCCGAGCCUGUAGCUGAGCAAGCGUGCAGCGCAAGGAACUGCACACGCAGGCUGAGCAGUUCGGCCAUUCCUCUCGGUGCGCCUCAUCCGCUGUGCCGGUGCAUGGAAGAAGCCCCGCUCACACUCGCGGGUCACAUCAUUGUCGUUCUCUCUCACACGCACGCAUACACAACAUUCCCCGCACCCGCUCGCCACACCAUCACACGGAGAUACGCACACGCACACGCGCACGCGCACCUCCUGUCUAUACUCGCCUCCAGCAUUUUUCUUUUCCUUCCCGUUUUCGUGUCUGCUUCGCUGCAGACCUUUGCUUGCUUGUGUAGUCCUCGCUCUCGCUCUCGCGCGCGCGCGUCGCUGCUUUUCCUCGAACGCCACGGUGCUGCCCCCGCCCGUCCAUCUGUGCGUGCGUGCGUCGUCGCUGCAUCGCCUCUGCCUCGUGCCCGCUCGCCCUCUUUAUUCGUCUUUACGGCGCUUCGCGGCGCUGCUGCGUCACGGUGCCGUGCGCCGGCACAUGCGCACGCACACACGCGCCCACCCUCAUCCUUCGCCUUCAUCAUGGCUUCCUAUUGGUGGCCGCUAGGUGGCUUGACCGUCCCGGCGGAGCCGAAAGGGUCGGCGCCCGCAGGCGCACCAACGGCCGCAGAAUCAGGGCCUCCCAAAGCCCCAUCCGGACGGACAUCAGUGGCGGCGGCGCACAACAGCAGUGUCACCGCAGCGUCCGCCGCCGAUGCGCGCCAUCUUGCCCGGGCUGCCUUCCAUACGAGCCUCGAGGGCCUCUUGGUGGAGUCGACGAAGCACCGCGGUCUUGCUGUCCUGCGCGACGCCGUCCUGGACACCCGCCAGCGCCAGUACGACCCGGCUAGCCUUUUUGAGACUCUCUGCAUUGCGUGCACAUUGUUGGCGGAGCGCAGCUCUGGCGGGACUGCGGUCACGGCGCGCAGGCACAGCAGCAACGCAGCACAUCCUAAAACCUCAAGCCCUGCCGCGAGAGGAAGCAUGUCACGCAGCAGUAGCGGCGCUGCCCUGUACACCAUGGGCAGCGGCAAUGAGCCGCCACAUGUACCGGUCAUCGCAACCGAGGCAGCAACUCUGCUGGCGGCCGGCGCGCAUGCCAGCUCCGCGGCGUCUCCGCCGCACCCACUUCACUACCGCCACAACGCGGCAUCUCGGGAACUGCUGCUUCAGUCCAUCGGCGACAUUGGUAAGCUCAUUGCUCUGGCGCUGUUGCCUGUGACGCAGCAGGUCGGUCGUCGUGUGGCAGACCUGGUGCGCGCGCUUGCUUUCCAGCCCUCGCCGACACCGUCUGUGCAACCUUCUUCGCUAGGCGUGCAGCUGCCAGCGCGAGCUGCCUUACCGCCCCCUACCUGGACGACAAGCGCAUCGGUGGCGCCAUCCAGUGCGCCGCGGUCCCAUAGCACCGCCCCACGGGACAAGGAUCCCUCCAGCGGACUCUUGGAUGCCAACUGCGGCGGCGGUGCCAUGUCAUCCGCCGCAGUCACAGCAACUGUUUCCGCUGCCGGACCCGUGCAUCUUGUGCACGACGAUCCGGUCCUCGUCCGUCUUCUUCAGAUGACUGCGUCAGCCGCGUCGAGAUGCCCUCUCGGCAGCAGCGCGCUCGCAGAGCUAUACGGCGUACUCUUGCUCUUCUACAGCGGCGUCGCGCCGCAGUCCAUGCUGGAGGCGACGUGCGAGGCGACGCUGACGCACCACAUCCAUGCCGUGCUGGCCGCGCUGCAUGACAGCGGGGCAGGAGACGACGGCGUCGUCUCAGCCAGCGCGCACGCAAGCGACGACGGCCUAGUGCAUCGCAACAGCUCGUCCGUAACGCUGACGGCAUCCACGUUUGCGGCCCAGCUGCAGGGCGUCGCCUUCAUCAAGGACGUCUGCCGCCUCAUGGUCGGUGCACGCACGCGGUGGCUGCACCUCAGUCCUUAUAGCACCAGCACUCCCGCUCCCGGUGGCGCGGCAGGUGGUGAAGGCGCAACGGCGGUCAGUGGCAGCAACCACAGCAACAAGCGAGGUGCGGCGGAGCAUCACAGGGGCAGCACGCCAUCGUCUAUGGCCGGCAUCACCGCCAGCGUCGCGGCUGCCGCAGCGGAUGCUAGUCGGCAACGGGAUCAGGAGCAGCAGCAACUCUCGUUGAGCACGUCGCUGAUGUCGAAGUCGAUGCUCGGAUCACUCGCAGCCUUGUCACCGGGCAUCCAGCAUGAGCUGGAUGCCCAAUCAGCAGCAGCAGCAGCCGCAGCGGGAGCUGUAUCAGGUGCCGGCGGUCCUGGUGGUGCAGCAGAGCUUUCCUCGUUAUCCUCCUUAGCGAUGACUAUGCCGGCGUGCGCCGCAAUGGAGGCGGUGCCGGAGCGACUGCGGCUCUUUCUCAUGCGCGCCGUGACGCUGUUCUUCAAGGAGCAGGCCAAGGCUCUGGCGGCCCCAGCGGUGGCGACGGCCGCUGCUGGCGGAGGAGGAGGCACAGAUGAAGGUGCGAGCAGAAGCUCAGCUGUCACAUCGGCCGCCGCGGUAUCCAUGCAGAGCCCGCUGUACGCGCAGUGCCUCAACGACUGCGUCUUCUCUGUCGCACUGUGGGGUCUGCAUGAGAUGGGCAUCGCAGUGUCCAUGCAACCGCCGCCGGCCCUGUUCGUGGAGGUGCAAGAGCAGCAGCAGCGCGAUGGGCCCUUUAGCGCGCCACCUUGCUCGCUGGAGGUCUUCAUGUGCACACAGCAACUUGUCCUCGUUCCCAUCAGCACGCACCUUCACAGCAUGACAAACUCGACCCAGGUGCUUCUUGAGGCGCAUGAUCGGCUGCUGCAGCGGCUCUGCAGGCGCCGCAAGCCUUGUGCAACGUCGUCGUCGCAGUGGCUCUGCAGCAGCGGCGAGGCAUCAGGAGGCUCGCUGAUGAGCAGCAACGAUGCCGAGCGACUGUCACAGGCGGCGACGGUAGUGCUGUCUCUCUGGCGCAAGACCCUUACGAGUGCGACUCUGUUGUGGGAACUGCUGCAGCUGCGGUCCAUGCAAGGCGGCCACAAUGCUGAUGAAGUCGCAGCAGGCAUGUCGGUGGACACCGAAGCGUAUCGUAGCAGCGGCUGGUACUCGAAUGAAGAGUGGCGGGCCAGUUCAGAUGUGAAGCGCAACGGUUACAACAGUGACAGCAGCGGCACUGCGGCGCCCUCGCAGCGAUGGUCACAGUCGGCACAUGACAGCUCCCUGUAUCCGCAGCGGCCUUCGCUCGCGCUCUCACGCUCGCGCGACAACCUCACGAGCAGCCAAAGCGCGCUUGACGGCAGAAAUGACAGCGAGAAGGAUCGCGCCAGCACACCGCCCGUUCCGGGACUCGGGAACGCCGCGGCGGCCGGCGAGGAGGGUGGCACUGGCGUGGAUGCCACGACGGUGCCGUUGCUGGUCCGCCUCGUGCUGUCCGUACUGGCACUGGUGGUGUCCCACAUGCAGCUCCAUGCCAACAACAUCAUGCAGGCGAGCGCGGACGACAAGAGCACCGAUGACAGGCGCGGAGGCGGCGACGGCGAGGAGGCAGAGGGCGCGGCGUUUACAGGGCCGCUUCUACGGCCCAGCACUCCCCCACGCUUCCUGUCCGCCGGUGACUCCGAGGAUGACAUCGUGGGCGAGCCAUCUCUGAAGCUCUCGCCGCUGCACAUGGGGCCGGCAGCCGCGAACGCCGUCGGCGCAGCGGCGGCGGCGGCGUCAAUACCGCUCUGCUUGUGUGUAGCGAAUGCAUCCAUAGUGUACCAGUGCUUCACCGAAGUGCUCAACGGUCUCACCGCCUUCGGCCAGCUCUUUUCGCAGCUGGUGGACACGCAGCUGAUGCCGUCGGUGGCCGCGGCAGACAAAGAACAGGUGCUGUGCCGGUGUCGUGAGUGCUUCCUGGUGCUACACCCGCACCUUCUCCACUGCGAGCAGCUCUGCCUGCGCCACCUCCGCUACGAAGAGGACGUGCUGCCGGUCGUGUUGAAAGCGACCAGUUACUGGGUACAGGUCAGCUGUGUCCUGCAGUUGCCUGAGCAGCGCGACGCCCACUUGGCAGCGCUCGUGGACGUGCUGCGGACACAGGACCCGGUGGAUGGUCACCUGGUCGCCCUGGCCCCGCCAACCGCCUUGGGCAUGUCGGACACCGCCUCUCCCACGACGGCAAUGCUGCUGGAAGCGCUUCUCACGCUGAACAGCGCGUGUGCGGCAGCUGAGCCGAUCGUGCCGGGAUCCGUCGCCGCCGCUGCACUCAGCCCCAGCGGCGAUCGCGACGCUGCGUCGCCGGGCAGCGGGGGUGGCGUCAGGGGGAUUCGACAGUAUGCCCUCAGCAUGUCCAGCUGGGGCGCUGAAUGGCUGCGGCGUCGUGGUCUCACGACCUCCUCCUCGGCCCGUGGCAACACGGCAUCACCAGCGCAUGCGGGCGGCGGCGGAAGCGGGAGCUGGACCGUGUCCCCGUCCCAGUCGCAGAUGAGCACCACCCCUGCAGGCGAACGAAGCGGGGCCGGCGCACGGCCGUCGUUGGCCGCACCCCCGCGCAUCGGAACGCCGACUCUUAUAGCGGCAGCGUCACGUAGCAAGCAGCAGCAGCAGCCCGCGUCGGCAUCUUGGGCGAUACCGUUGGUGCUCACAUCGCACGGCUGGCGCUCGCCAGCCGUGCAGCACGCCGUCAUCCUUGGCGUGUGUCGCCUGCAGCACAAGCUCUUUAUCAUGAAGACGCUUCACGUCAUCGCCAACACCCUCGGGGCACAGCUAAAGAGCGGGUGGGCUUUGCUCGCGCGCGGUCUCGCUGUGACGGAGCCUCUGCUGCACAUGCUCAAGCGGCUGCUGUCGUGGAUCGAGGAGUCUGCCGAGGAGCAGGAGCAGCAAGAGCAGCUACUCAGUGACGCCCUGCACCUGCGUGACGCGCUGCGUUCCCUCUGCCUCCACAACGCUUGCCAGCUACCCUACUCUCAGUUCGAAAUCUUUUUCACAGAGCUCGUGAGCGCAACUGUGGCCUUAGGGGCAGCAGCGCCGUCACAGCAGCAGGACGGAGCGGCACUAGCCUUCAACCACUGGGGCUGCGGGGAUCUGCACGCGGCGGCGUGCGCCGCCGCUUCCGACCGGCUGCCUCGCCACCACCCACAGGGCUGCGGCGGGCAGUGGGUGCUCACGUCAGAGUGCCUGAGCGUGUCGCUAUUAGCCAUGUUGCCCUUCAUAGAGCUGCGGUACACUGACGCGACGAACGGCGUAGCAACUGGAAAAGUAGGGGACGGCAGCGUUGGGCGCGAUCAGCCCGGUGUUCAAGUGGUGCAGCUGCAGCACCAGCGCACCGGUGCUCUUGCUAGGGCACUGUAUCUGUGGGAGCUGGAGGCGAGGGUGUGCCGCUACGUAACGGACCACCAGCACGUGGAGGAAUGGGGAAGGGGACUGCUGACAACAAUGAAGACGCACAAGCGAGCACUGCUGGCGACCACGGCGUCGAGUUCCGUCGAACCAGCCGCAACCGACCCAGACACGCCACUGGGGACUGGGAGCCUCUCGCAGGAGGAGACCCGCACGAUCGAGCUGGUGCUCUCCACAGUCGUCGGCCACGUUUCUACGGUAGCCGUGCAGAUGUGUCGAUCAUCAUCGCGGCGUCGGGUUGCGGCAGUGACGAGUGCCGGAGGCGAAGGUGGCAGCCCGUUGAAUGACACUGGCAGCGCAGCGCCGUCCCCCUCGUAUCAAGCCGUGCAGAGCGCCGCCCUCACGCUCACCUCUGGCCCCUUCGCCGCUGUGCCGCUCACGCAAGUUGCGAACGCCCUCUUCGCCGCCAGCGCUGCCUCUGGGUCUUCUCUGGGUACGAGUGGCGCGAAGGACACCCUCGCUGGGGUCGGCAGCGGCGGUCGGCUGCCUCUCUUGCCGUUUGUGCAGGCGGACGCCGCGCAAAGCAUCGCACGGCUGCACGCUGCCGUGCAUCGGUCCUCGCAGGCGAUCGCCCUUCACACACCCGCCGACGACAGCCGCAGCAGCGUCGCCACAGCUCCGCCGGCGGCCACCGCGUCUGUCCACCUCGCCCCGCUAGAGCAACUCCUGGCGAGCCCUUUCGCCCUGCUCGACCGCGUCUAUGGCGAGUGGCAGCUGCAGUGUGCUGGCUCGCCGAGCAGAGGCGGUGGACAAGGCAGACGAUCAGCAGCGGCUAACGCGGCGGAGCAGCAUGAGCUGGAGGGUCGCAUGUCAUCGACUCCACUUGACACGAACGAGGCUCGGGAACUGCCGCAGAGGGGGGAGAGGUCCGCUAGCUCGGAAGCCUUAGAGGCAUCUGCGGCGUUCUCUGUCGUUGCCGGCGCAGUCCCGCAGCUGCUGGGCAACGCCGCCGCCGCCGUGCUGAUGGACGUUGUGAAGAUUGUGCAGUCCUAUGGCGAAGAAAUUGAUGGCGCCGCCUGGGAAGCUAUCUUGUCCUUGCUGCAGCGAACCGCCAUGGCGGCCAAGGAGCAUGACAAUACUCUGGCAGGCAUGAGUGUCGGUGCGGCUGGUGGGAGCGGCAGUCACACACAAAGCAGUGUCAGCAUGGACAGCAUCGGUGGACGCAGCGCUAGCAGCACCGGCCUCCUCGGUAAGCCGGGCAUCAAGGCGCCCACCAGCGCCGCCGGUGCCACCGUGUCUAGCAGCCAAGCCGUCGAGUCCCUCAACACCGCUUUUCGCGCGCUGGAGAGCAUUCAGCACAACCACAUUCCGCGCCUGAAUGCGGACGGUCUGCACCGUCUCAUCGUGUGUGUCGGCACCUUCACAGUGCACCGCGUCGACGGAGGGGCUGCCGGUGAGCGCAAGCUGCACACGAAUCUGAGCGCCGUGCAGCUGCUGUGGUCUAUCGCGGACUACCUCGCUGCCUUUGGCAGCGGGGCAGACGAGGAGAUCGAGCGCGGCGGCGCCUACAACAACGCCAACGGAGGUAGCAGCGGCACGGUGAAAGCCACGGCCGCCGGGUGUGCAGGUGCGGCUGCCGGCGGAAUGCGAGGAUCACCGACGCGAUGUUCCGAUGAUGCUUUGGUCGCACAGCACCAGCAGCAGCAGCAGCAACACGACCGCCUCUGGUGCUCGCUCCUCUGGCAGCUACGUAACGGCUGCCUCGAUGAUCGGCAGGAGGUGCGCCAAUCCGCGCUGCAGACGUUCUUCGCACUCGUGCAGACGUACGGUUGGCGCUUCUCCGCAGCGUGCUGGCGAUGCGUACUACAGGAUGUAUUGUUGCCGCUCAUGGAAAUUGUUGCAGUGGCGACAGGGCUGUGCGCGACCCCUCCGCCAUCGCCGCCUGAGCUGGGAGAAGACGGUGCAACAGCCGCAACCGGUGCGGCGGGGGAAAGAGGGGCGCAGGACGCGACAAGGCAGCGGCUGCUCCGUAGCUUCAUGGAUCACCCGCCUCAGCUAGAGGAGGUGCGCGCUGCUUUGUUCGAUGCGGGGAGCCGCUUGUUUGUCACCCACUACGCGCGCAUGCAGGCGGCCGCUACCGCGCUGUCGUCGCCCUCGUCGGCGCGAUCGCGGCGUCCUCAGCUGCCCGUCACUGAGGAGGACAAGGACGAUGCAACGCAGGUGCUGGAGCGCUUCCUGCGACUGUGUGGCGACGUCUGCGUGGUGCUGCGGGGCACAUCCGGCGAGCAGGCCGCCGUGGCUGCCGUGCACGCUCUCCACGGGCUGCUCGUCGAGAUGCCAGGGAAAGGGCUGCACGCGCACGGGAUACACCUCGCCUGGAGUGCUCUUGAGCGUCUGAUCCUGCGCGGCGGCGGCGGCGGCGAUGACUGCGUUGAAGGACCACUUGCGGGUGUGACAGAAGGCAUAGCGCCAGAACCCGACACCCAGAGAAGGGCAAAACAGUGCACCAACGCGGUAGUGGCGGCCACGGUAGCCGCGGUCUGCGACAGCUUCCGCCUCCAGCGCCUCGCGGCGGCGGCGCCGGUAGCCGCGGUCGGCUCCGCCACCGCCACUUCACGAAGCGCCGUGGAGCGCAGUCGCAACGCGACGGGUUUCAGCUCGUACUUCAGCAGCUGGGGCGGCGGCGGCGGCGGCAUAGCCACCACAGUUGCAGGGUCAACGUCACGUGCAGAGCUGCGGCACAGCGACCCCUCCUCUCCUGCCCCGUACUUUACUCGUCUGCUCUUUCUCUUGCAGGCUGUCACCCGCUGCCCGGCUGUUGUGAACUCGUACUACUUCCCGAGCAAGGCGCAGGCCACCCUGCUCGAGGGUUUAGCCGCGGUGUGGCCGACGCUGUCGAGUCGCGAGGCGCGGACGAUGUGGGGCGAGGUGCUCCUGCCGGCCUUUCCGCCAGCGGCGCGGCUGCAGAGCUUUGUUUUGCAGGACUCGCACGAGUCGGUCUCCAUCACGGUGGUGGACGACGCCACCGCCAACGCAGCAGCGACGGCAGCGGCGAGCACGCGGAUCCCGCUCAAGUCGGUAAUGCCUCCUGGGUCGCACCCGGGGUAUCUCGGCGCCGUCAUGGAGACGAUGCGCGGCUUGAUGCUGCGUCACAUGGGCGCGGAUGCUGUCGGUGCGACCGCUGCGAGGCGCAGAGGGCCCGACGGACUGCCGCCGGAUCCUGCAUCAGCCAACACGUCCGCUGCGGCGACUGAGGCACCAGCGAAGACAACCGACGAGGAUCGCGCGCGACUGGCGUUUAUGGCCCCCAGCACCGUGCAAGUCAGCGGCACACUCUUGCUGCUGCACCUCGCCCCUGCGGCGGUUCUAGAAGUGCCGCCGCGAUCGGGAAGCGUGCCCUUCAACCCCCCAGCGCUCUUCCUACAAGAAUGUGUCAACGUGUUGCAGUACACAUUGUGGGAGCCGGUGCUGGCGCGCACCCGGACGCCGCCACCUUCCGCUGCGGCUGUACAGUGCCGCCGGGAUGGUGUCGUCGCGCUCUGUCGCGUGUUUGAGCUGCUGCUCACCACCACCUCCACAGUGGUGCGGCACCUGCAUGCGACUGCAACGAGCGGAGCGGCAGCGGCAAGCGGGACCACCACGGUCCCAACGACAACGAUAACGCCGCCGCAUGUCACAGCGGCGUUGCAGUCGCUCGACUUGCUCGUGGGCACCCUCGGUGAGGUGGUUCACUUUGUGAUGGAGCGGUACGAGGAUGUAGUGUGCGCAACGGCAGCCGUCACGACGUUGACGAUCGCAUCGACUGCAGAGGGCACGGCACUGGCUCGGGUGGCACGGCGGAGCUUGUCGCUGUUACAGCGCUGGGCAUGCGCCAUCAGUGGCACACCUUCAGCGCGCUUAGCGCCUCCGUCGUGUGCCGCGACGCCGCACCACCAUCAGCACACUCGCAGCGGCAGUGAUGGCAGUUGCAUCAUGUCUCCCAGUGCGCAGGGCGCCGUCGCCCGCCACGAUGUGUGUGCACAGUCCCAGCCUGCCGACCACGCCACCGCACCAACAGCGGCUUCGCGCAGCAAGCUGCAGGAUGUAGUGCGAGCCUCCAUCGAAUCACGCAACAAAGCGAUCAUGGCACAGUUCGUGGGCAACCCCGACGACGCCAGUGCCGGCGCGCUACUCGUCGACACGCUUCGAGACAUGCUGCACGUUGCGCAGAGCAGCGCACGAGCAGACCCGCGCGCCGGCAGCGAUGCGGCGACGCAAAAUCUGAACACCAUGAUGCCGGACCUGCUGCGCCUCGUCGCAUGCAGCAGCCGUGAGCCGCACCGAUCCGCUGCGGCGAUCUCGCGAGAGCAGGAGAUGCGCGAGCUUCUGGCGAAUCUGCUGACGCUGGCUGUGGACAAACAGCACAAGCAGCUCGCCUGCCAAGCCGAAUCACGCGGCUGGAGUGGCUGUCGCGCAGACGACUACCGGCUCAACUCGGAUGCGGAAGAUCAAGAUGAGGGCACGUCUAUCAUUUGACUGCUUCGCGAACCGCGAGGCGUCGGUGCGCGGUUGUACGGACAGAGGGGAGGGAGAGCCUCGGUCUCGCCCUCCCCCCCCCGGUCCGACCCGCCCACCGUCCUCGGUACUCUUCCUUUCUCACUCUGUUUGUGCCGCCUGCGCAUACUUCCACUCCAGACUCGCGCAGACAUGUACGCACGCAGGUGGGCUGCCCUGCAUUCGUGCGUCAGUUG
RNAcentral lists this unclassified non-coding RNA (10048 nucleotides) under Leishmania donovani. Its description in RNAcentral is "gene:LdHU3.09.0640(CDS-product:hypothetical_prote in_conserved)". Lineage: Eukaryota; Euglenozoa; Kinetoplastea; Trypanosomatida; Trypanosomatidae. The record is from RNAcentral.